CGCAAAGCGGUAGUUUUAGACGAGCGACUAAAGCGACUGCCUAGUGUGUUUCAGCCUUAAUGUUCCAGUUAAAAC
Xenia sp. Carnegie-2017 is the source of this 75-nucleotide long non-coding RNA. RefSeq lists it as uncharacterized. The record is from RefSeq and is a predicted model, not a curated record. Lineage: Eukaryota; Metazoa; Cnidaria; Anthozoa; Malacalcyonacea; Xeniidae. The transcript has 3 exons.